UAUUUAUUUGUAUCUAUUCUCAUUUUCUUGCCCAUUAACUUUGGUCUCAGCAUACUCUCUAUGUUGCAAUAAAGAAAUACAACGCCUAGCCUGCUAAGAGCAUAAAAAUGGAUCCUUGAAAUCUUAAGUUGUGGAUUAAUACAUCAAAAUUAUGCUUGGAAAACUCAUAUAUCUCUUUUUCCAUUAGAGAGGGAAAUAAGCAAGGAAGCGAUCAAUCAUGGAAUAACAUUCCUUUGGUUUGUACUCUGGAGCAACAUGACCCGCCCCCUUCACAGUAGCAUAUAUGAGAGUGAAGUCACCAUUCAUGUACUUCUCUGUGUAACCAGCGACUUGACCAUCUACAAACCAUGGCCUCCAGUAUUCGUUGGUGGUCAAAUCGAGUGAAUGAAUCCAGUUUUCUGUCCCUAUGUGAGGUACAGACAAAUCAUGAUCACCACUGUAUAUAAGAGCUCGAAGGCUUUGCUUGCUGAGAUUUCUAUGGUAAUCAACUGUGCUUGAGACAUCCUUUGUAUAGGCUAAGGAAGCAUUGCACCUCUUCCAAACUCCAGUUGUGUUCUCCCGAACUUGAAGAGCAUCCCUAACACUUUUGUCAUUAGCCCAAACACCAGAGAGCACAUAGUUAUAUUCCCGACACCAAUAUGCACUAUUAAGCUUGGAAAUGGAAAUACUUUCAAGGUCCUCUUCAUUGAGAGAUCUUCUUCCUCCGAUUCUUCUGAGUCCUCUUGCUCUUGGUUUUGCAGUUUGGCAAAUAGGCUCCAGAACUUGCAUCAGAUUUAUUUGAAGAAUCAACUCAUCAAUGGUAUUGAUAUCUGAAACACAGUCUGUGUUGCUUGCAUUUAUGUUCACAUAAUCUCCACCACAAUCUUCUUUGGUGGACUUGUAGAGUUCAUUUGAUAUGAGUGUCAAUCUGUGAACAAAUGGAACUACCGAGUUCUCAUCAAUGAAGUCAUCUGUCUUAGGGUUCCCAAGUAUAUAUCCUUUCAGAUUCAUAGUUGGUGGAACUCCAGCUUCAUUACCAUCAAGUAUAUUUUGUACGACAAUUGGAAGGGGAAUGCCUGAAUAGGAAUCACCACCAAUGAAUAGUUGAUUUGUAAGAUACUGAGGAUGGUCCAGUAACCACUUUUGUAAAAACUCAUAGGUCUGUGCAGCAGACUUGAUGUCAUCAACAUAGUAAUUUUCUUGGGUUGUAGAGUAGGAGAAUCCAGUUCCAAUUGGUGCAUCUACAUAUAUUAUAUUGAUGCCCUGUGUCCAUGCAAAAGGAUUCAAAUGCAGGGAUGGUAAGCUUCCAUUGUAAUUAGAAUAAUCAAAUGCUACCGGACCACUUUCGUAGAAGAAGGCAGAGAGAACAGAGCAACCAGGUCCUCCAGUGAGCCACAAUAUAAGAGGAUCAUUUCCAGGGUCUGAUUCUGAUUUAAUAAAAUAAUAAAAUAGCUGGUGUUUCUCUUCUUUACCCACACCUACAUACCCAGUUUCGAGAUGAAAAGGAAGAGG
Molecule: unclassified non-coding RNA, 1491 nt
Filed under: Hevea brasiliensis (rubber tree)
Lineage: Eukaryota; Viridiplantae; Streptophyta; Magnoliopsida; Malpighiales; Euphorbiaceae
Source: RNAcentral